GCCUAACACAUGCAAGUCGAGCGGUAGCAGGACCUGUAGCAAUACAGGUUGCUGACGAGCGGCGGACGGGUGAGGAAUACGUAGGAACCUGCCUUAUAGUGGGGGAUAACUAAGGGAAACUUUAGCUAAUACCGCAUAAUCUCGAGGGAGGAAAGCUGCCGCAAGGUGGCGCUAAAAGAGGGGCCUGCGUCCGAUUAGCUAGUUGGUGAGGUAAGAGCUCACCAAGGCGAUGAUCGGUAACUGGUCUGAGAGGACGACCAGUCACACUGGGGCGGAGGCACAGCCCAGACUCCGACGGGAGGCAGGAGGGGGGAAUAUUGGACAAUGGGGGCAACCCUGAUCCAGCGAUGCCGCGUGAGUGGAGAAGGCCUUCGGGUCGUAAAGCUCUUUAGGUUGGGAAGAAGGGUGUUAGAGGAAAUGCUAAUACUUUGACGGUACCGACAGAAUAAGCACCGGCAAACUCUGUGCCAGCCGCCGCGGUAA
Molecule: ribosomal RNA, 483 nt
Filed under: uncultured bacterium
Lineage: Bacteria
Description: partial 16S ribosomal RNA
Rfam family: Bacterial small subunit ribosomal RNA
Source: RNAcentral